UUAAAAGAAAAAUAUUAACAAACUAUAUUUGUACAUGGGUAAUAGUUGUAUACACACUUAGAAGUACUUAUUUGUCCAAGAGAAGCAUCUCCAAAUGCUCUUUCUUCACUUUAUUAUAAAUAGACUAGAGAUCUUCAAUCCUAAUGUGAAACUUCCACAAUUCCUUUGUACCAGUAAUAUCUUUGAGAAGGUUAACUAGUCUUGCCAAUCCACGUUUAGAUGGAAACAAAC
This 231-nucleotide long non-coding RNA is filed under the name Lathyrus oleraceus (garden pea). RNAcentral describes it as "Pisum sativum (pea) long non-coding RNA (PSAT_LNC018830)". Lineage: Eukaryota; Viridiplantae; Streptophyta; Magnoliopsida; Fabales; Fabaceae. The record is from RNAcentral.